CCUACGGGUGGCAGCAGUGAGGAAUAUUGGUCAAUGGGCGCGAGCCUGAACCAGCCAAGUAGCGUGAAGGAUGACUGCCCUACGGGUUGUAAACUUCUUUUAUCAAGGAAUAACGUGAGGCCCGUGUGCCUUUUUGUAUGUACCAUAUGAAUAAGGAUCGGCUAACUCCGUGCCAGCAGCCGCGGUAAUACGGAGGAUCCGAGCGUUAUACGGAUUUAUUGUGUUUAAAGUGAGCGUAGGUGGAUUGUUAAGUCAGUUGUGAAAGUUUGCGGCUUAACCGUAAAAUUGCAGUUGACACUGGCAGUCUUGAGUACAGUAGAGGUGGGCGGAAUACGUGGUGUAGCGGUGAAAUGCUUAGAUAUCACGAAGAACGCCGAUUGCGAAGGCAGUUCACUGGACUGCAACUGACACUGAGGCUCGAAAGUGUGGGUAUCAAACAGGAUUAGAUACCCCUGUAGUC
This 460-nucleotide ribosomal RNA is filed under the name uncultured bacterium. RNAcentral describes it as "partial 16S ribosomal RNA". It matches the Rfam family "Bacterial small subunit ribosomal RNA", at positions 338 to 795 of the family's 1533-position model. The record is from RNAcentral.